RNAcentral lists this long non-coding RNA (564 nucleotides) under Cebus imitator (Panamanian white-faced capuchin). RNAcentral describes it as "lncRNA (ENSCCAG00000038221.1)". Lineage: Eukaryota; Metazoa; Chordata; Mammalia; Primates; Cebidae. The record is from RNAcentral.
AUGUUACAAAGGAGGCAAAUGAAAGAAAUAAGAGAGUGGGUGGAGAAGACCUCAGAUGAUUCUACAAGGAGGGACCAUCAUCACACAGACCUAGAGCACCUUGAAACAUCUUUGGUGUGUUUGCUCUGUGCUGAGGCCUUUGCAAUCAGAGCGGCGUCUCUCUGGUUCCUGAAUGGCUCACUCCGGAGUACUGCAUGUCCCUGCAUGUCGAGAGAAGGAAAGAGAAAUGGUGCAGAACCCAAUACGGAAGCGGAGCUCUCUGCAAAUUCACUCUUCUCACCCACCUCGUCCAGUUUCUCUGAGCCUCCAGGUGGUGUCUCCUAUGUGCCCAGGUCCAGUUCUAGGAGAGAACAGUGCACUGGGGCCUCUUGCCUCGCUGCUCGGAGCUCCUUCGACGGUGGAAUCCUGCCAGCCAUUGAUUCAACUGUGGGAGUUAUCGCAGCAGUGCAACUGCACUCAGGCCUCAGCUCCAGCUUGUAUAAUAUUUCUGAUAAUAAGAGAGCCUAAAUGAAGCAUCCUUUAAAAGGCCUUCGCUGUUAAUUUGGCACAGGGAAAAAAGCCAGC